RNAcentral lists this ribosomal RNA (271 nucleotides) under uncultured bacterium. RNAcentral describes it as "partial 16S ribosomal RNA". It matches the Rfam family "Bacterial small subunit ribosomal RNA", at positions 524 to 794 of the family's 1533-position model. The record is from RNAcentral.
GACGUAGGAUGCAAGCGUUGUCCGGAUUUAUUGGGCGUAAAGAGUUCGUAGGUGGUUUGUUAAGUUUGGUGUUAAAGAUUGGGGCUCAACCCUGAAACUGCACUGAAUACUGGCAGACUCGAGUGUGGUAGAGGCUAGUGGAAUUCCCAGUGUAGCGGUGAAAUGCGUAGAUAUCUGGAAGAACACCAGUAGCGAAGGCGGCUCUCUGGACUGAUACUGACGCUCAAGCGCGAAGGCUUGGGGAGCAAACAGGAUUAGAAACCCCGGUAGU